Molecule: ribosomal RNA, 322 nt
Filed under: Rhipicephalus sp. Cyprus 8
Lineage: Eukaryota; Metazoa; Arthropoda; Arachnida; Ixodida; Ixodidae
Description: partial 16S ribosomal RNA
Source: RNAcentral
UCUGCUCAAUGAUUUUUUAAAUUGCUGUGGUAUUUUGACUAUACAAAGGUAUUGAAAUAAGAUUUUAAUUGAAUGCUAAGAGAAUGGACUCUCAGAGAAAAACUUUUUUUAAAUUAAAAAUUGAAAUUUUUUUAAUUUGUGCAGAAACAAUUAUUAAUAUUAAGGACAAGAAGACCCUAUGAAUUUAUUAAAUUUCAUUCAAUAUGUAAUUACUAUUGAAGAAAUUUUGGCUGGGGCGGCUAAAAAAUAUUUUAAACUUUUUAAAAAUAAAACGACCCAUUAUUAAUGAUUAUAUGUUAAAUACUCUAGGGAUAACAGCGUA